CCCUUAGAUGUUCUGGGCCGCACGCGCGCUACACUGAUACAGACAACAAGUCUCAAAUACACUCCUCUACCGAAAGGUAUGGGUAACCUUGGGAAAUUGUAUCGUGAUAGGGCUUGACGAUUGUAAUUAUUUGUCACAAACGAGGAAUUCCUAGUAAGCGCAAGUCAUCAACUUGCACUGAUUACGUCCCUGCCCUUUGUACACACCGCCCGUCGCUCCUACCGAUGAAUGUUAAGGUGAAUUCUCCGGAUUCGCGGCUCGCAUUGGGCAACCUUUCUGAGCCAACGAAAAAGUUGUGUAAGCCUUGACAUUUAGAGGAAGGAAAAGUCGUAACA
Molecule: ribosomal RNA, 335 nt
Filed under: uncultured eukaryote
Lineage: Eukaryota
Description: partial 18S ribosomal RNA
Rfam family: Eukaryotic small subunit ribosomal RNA
Source: RNAcentral